UUGUUAUCACGAAAGCUGGAGGGAAUAGACCCUGCGAAAGCUUAGCAACCUCCCGCGCUAGUGGAAAGGUGCUACAUUCUAUUCCGAUAUUUAUCGGAAGCAGAUAACGU
RNAcentral lists this non-coding RNA (110 nucleotides) under Flavobacteriia bacterium. Its description in RNAcentral is "Flavobacteria bacterium SAM-I sequence". It matches the Rfam family "SAM riboswitch aptamer (S box leader)". From Rfam's summary of the family: The SAM riboswitch is found upstream of a number of genes which code for proteins involved in methionine or cysteine biosynthesis in Gram-positive bacteria. The SAM riboswitch acts at the level of transcription termination control. The predicted structure consists of a complex stem-loop region followed by a single stem loop terminator region. The record is from RNAcentral. Lineage: Bacteria; Pseudomonadati; Bacteroidota; Flavobacteriia.